GAAAGCCUUUGUGUGAGUAGUGUCCAGGGUUCCUUCCUUCUUUGCCUGUCUGUCUGAUCUGAUCUCAUUUUUUGCCUCAGGGAUUUCGCUGCUCUGCCUUGCCCUCAUCAUAUACCUCACUGGCUUCUGUUUUCUGGACUAUUAACUUGUUUUUGCCUCCUGACUAACCCUCCCUGCCUAACCCCUCGAUCUAUCAGCCUGUAUCUGCCUUCCCAUGCUAGACUUCGUUUCUGUACCUCGGACAAAGAUACAAGCUUCGCCCACGAAUCCUGCUGCCCUAGUCUGCUCUAACAACUCUGACCCAGUUCAUGUCCCCUUACCACCACAACCUGCUCAGUCAUCAGGUUUAUAACCCCGAGAAUCUGUGGGGUACUUUCCAGCUGUUACCCCAUCUAUACUGUGAGGAACCAGAACUCAGCUUCCUGAUUCCAUUACGGAUUCUGAGAAGAGGUUCCUGAGUCUGCUGUUGAUAGUUUCCUGAGAGACAACCUCCAGAGCUUUUAAUAAACUUUUAAAUCUUA
Long non-coding RNA from Girardinichthys multiradiatus, 521 nucleotides. RefSeq lists it as uncharacterized. NCBI's taxonomy places the organism in Eukaryota, Metazoa, Chordata, Actinopteri, Cyprinodontiformes, Goodeidae. The record is from RefSeq and is a predicted model, not a curated record. The transcript has 2 exons.